Long non-coding RNA from Myxocyprinus asiaticus (Chinese sucker), 673 nucleotides. RefSeq lists it as uncharacterized. Lineage: Eukaryota; Metazoa; Chordata; Actinopteri; Cypriniformes; Catostomidae. The transcript is spliced from 3 exons. The record is from RefSeq and is a predicted model, not a curated record.
UAGAAUUCACUGUUAACUUUACAGACAUUAAAGACAACACUAAAGAUGACACUUCAGCUGCCGAAACAGAUCAAUCACAUGAUCAAUCUAAGUCAGACGUGAUCAAUCCAGACGGCCCUGAUCGAUCUAAGGUUGCUGUCAUUGCUGCUGUUGUAAGCGGUUUCAUCAUCAUUAUAAUCAUCACAGUAACAAUCAUUUACAAAAAGAAACGCAACUGUUCCAGCCUUCCAGAGUGUUUCCGAUCAACAGACAUGAUGACAGACAAUUCAAUAAUUUGAAAGCAGUUUUAUUGCACUUUUCAAGUGAACCUUGUAAAAAGAUGACGCCUUUGGUUAUAUGUUUUCUGUUUUAUAUGUAUUUAUGUUAAAUAUUAUUGUGUUGUUUUAAUGGCUGAAAUGAACUCAAGCGUGUAUAUAAAAUGUGAUUAAGAUACAAAGACAACUAAACCCAAAUGUUUAUAUGCUUGGUUCUGUCCUGUUUUUUUAAAGACAUCUUUAUCAAUGAUUUUGUAUUUUGUGAAUGGUAAUAUAGCUUAAACUUGAAACUUUGUUUAUUUUAACCAAUGUAAUAAUUUUCACAUGUGAGGUAUUGCUCUUUAUUGAUUUAUACAAUAUAUUUAUAUUAUUAAAGGCUUGUGAUACUCUCUAAACAUUCAUUUCUGAAACCUCUUUCU